Molecule: ribosomal RNA, 508 nt
Filed under: uncultured bacterium
Lineage: Bacteria
Description: bacterial SSU rRNA
Rfam family: Bacterial small subunit ribosomal RNA
Source: RNAcentral
CUGGCGGCGUGCCUAAUACAUGCAAGUCAACGGCUUUCUAUGGAAGCUUGCUUCCACUGAGAAGAUAGUGGCGAACGGGUGAGUAACACGUGGGUAACCUGCCCAUAAGAGGGGGAGUAACAUCCGGAAACGGGUGCUAAUACCGCAUAGUUUUCUUGAUUGCAUGAUUGAGAAAGGAAAGACGGCCUUUGUGCUGUCGCUUAUGGAUGGACCCGCGGCGUAUUAGUUAGUUGGUGAGGUAACGGCUCACCAAGACGAUGAUACGUAGCUGACCUGAGAGGGUGAUCGGCCACAUUGGGACUGAGACACGGCCCAAACUCCUACGGGAGGCAGCAGUAGGGAAUCUUCCGCAAUGGACGAAAGUCUGACGGAGCAACGCCGCGUGAGUGAAAGAAGGUUUUCGGAUCGUAAAACUCUGUUGUCAGAGAAGAACAAGUUGGAGAGUAACUGCUCCAGCCUUGACGGUAUCUGACCAGAAAGCCACGGCUAACUACGUGCCAGCCGCCGC